Long non-coding RNA from Helianthus annuus (common sunflower), 656 nucleotides. RefSeq lists it as uncharacterized. Lineage: Eukaryota; Viridiplantae; Streptophyta; Magnoliopsida; Asterales; Asteraceae. The record is from RefSeq and is a predicted model, not a curated record. The transcript is spliced from 2 exons.
CCUAAAACAAAAAAGAACGUGGUUCUCUUCUGGUUCAUCCCCAAAACCAAAUCCCCAAGCCGACAAUGGAUCGCGAUCUCGAACAAGAGAUAUGUUCCCUCGAGGAUUCAGGAAGAAAGGUACCAUCCAUCUCUCCACCUACCUUCGAAGCUUGGGCGCAAAUUAACGAUGCAGAAGACCAAGGAUAUGCAAGAUAUGAGAAACUGUUAUGAUGGAUUAUUAUCUGCAGCUGCUGCAACCGCAAAUAGUAUAUAUGGAACGUCACGAAACGCGCCAUUAGCGUCGAGAUGAACAAACAGCCAAACAGGUUUAGUUGAGAAGGAGGCGUAAACAGAGAGGAUGGGUCAAUAAUGGAAGAGGCGUAAACAAAGAGGAUGGGUCAAUAAUGGAAGAGAUUGUGGCGACCCGCUUUGGCUGGAUUAAUAGCAGGUGCAAGGAGUUGAAAUGUGGCUGGGAAGUUUGGAAGAUAGAUCCUUGUAACAGUUUUUCUUUUUGUAACAUGUAGGUUGUGUGUUUUUUAGCCUUACUGCAGUGUCGUUUUGUUUUUUUUACUUGUGAUUCCAGCACUUCGCUAGUCUUCCUUUUUAAUAAUAUGUUGUUGUUCUCGAGACUCUUGUACUAUAUCUUGUAUACUAUGAAGUGGUUAUCUUAUAUAA